GUUUUUUCAAAAACAUAGCUUUAGGAUACAGAUCUAAAGUUAAACCUGCCCAGUGUACAUUAUCAAAAAUUAUAAAUGGCCGCGGUACUUUGACCGUGCUAAGGUAGCGCAAUCAAUUGGCUUUUAAAUGGAGUCAGGUAUGAAUGGGAUCACGGAGUUUAGCUGUCUCUAAACUAAUUUAUUGAAAUUACUUUGCAGGUGAAAAAGCCUCCAAAUUGAAAAAAGACGAGAAGACCCUUAGAGUUUUAUUUAAAGUAAAAGAAUUUUUUAUAAUAAUUUAGUUGGGGCAACAAAGGAACAUUUGAUUAAAUUUCCUUAAUUUUAUUUAUCGAUUUUUAUAAAUUUACAUAAACUACCUUAGGGAUAACAGCAUAAUUUAGUUAAUAAGUUUGUGACCUCGAUGUUGGACUAGGAAACUUGAAGGCUAGCCGCUUUCUAGCAAGGUUCUGUUCGAACUGUUUGAUCCUACGUG
This 472-nucleotide ribosomal RNA is filed under the name Phyllidiopsis xishaensis. RNAcentral describes it as "partial large subunit ribosomal RNA". It matches the Rfam family "Bacterial large subunit ribosomal RNA", at positions 1802 to 2602 of the family's 2925-position model. The record is from RNAcentral. Lineage: Eukaryota; Metazoa; Mollusca; Gastropoda; Nudibranchia; Phyllidiidae.